GCCAGCAGCCAUAUCGCCCUGCAACUCUAAAUUGAUAACCCACUGAAGCUAAGCAGGUGUGAGCCUGGUUGGUACCUGGAUGGGAGACCUCCUGGGAAAAAAACUAAGGCUGGUGCUGGAA
Molecule: ribosomal RNA, 121 nt
Filed under: Lepisosteus oculatus (spotted gar)
Lineage: Eukaryota; Metazoa; Chordata; Actinopteri; Semionotiformes; Lepisosteidae
Source: RNAcentral